RNAcentral lists this ribosomal RNA (429 nucleotides) under Chloroflexota bacterium. RNAcentral's name for it is "Chloroflexi bacterium partial 16S ribosomal RNA". It matches the Rfam family "Bacterial small subunit ribosomal RNA", at positions 355 to 776 of the family's 1533-position model. Lineage: Bacteria; Bacillati; Chloroflexota. The record is from RNAcentral.
UGGGGAAUAUUGCACAAUGGGCGCAAGCCUGAUGCAGCCAUGCCGCGUGUGUGAAGAAGGCCUUCGGGUUGUAAAGCACUUUCAGCGGGGAGGAAGGCGAUAAGGUUAAUAACCUUGUCGAUUGACGUUACCCGCAGAAGAAGCACCGGCUAACUCCGUGCCAGCAGCCGCGGUAAUACGGAGGGUGCAAGCGUUAAUCGGAAUUACUGGGCGUAAAGCGCACGCAGGCGGUCUGUCAAGUCGGAUGUGAAAUCCCCGGGCUCAACCUGGGAACUGCAUUUGAAACUGGCAGGCUAGAGUCUUGUAGAGGGGGGUAGAAUUCCAGGUGUAGCGGUGAAAUGCGUAGAGAUCUGGAGGAAUACCGGUGGCGAAGGCGGCCCCCUGGACAAAGACUGACGCUCAGGUGCGAAAGCGUGGGGAGCAAACAGG